RNAcentral lists this transfer RNA (94 nucleotides) under Plasmodium chabaudi adami. RNAcentral describes it as "Thr transfer RNA (ggt)". The record is from RNAcentral. Lineage: Eukaryota; Apicomplexa; Aconoidasida; Haemosporida; Plasmodiidae.
AUGUUCAGUUGGUGUAUGUUCAGCUGGUGCUUGAUCAGUUGGUGCUUGAUCAGCUGGUGCUUGAUCAGCUGGUGCUUGUUCAGUUGGUGCAUGC